This 569-nucleotide ribosomal RNA is filed under the name Sporothrix schenckii. RNAcentral's name for it is "partial large subunit ribosomal RNA". It matches the Rfam family "Eukaryotic large subunit ribosomal RNA", at positions 60 to 653 of the family's 3401-position model. Lineage: Eukaryota; Fungi; Ascomycota; Sordariomycetes; Ophiostomatales; Ophiostomataceae. The record is from RNAcentral.
AGAAACCAACAGGGAUUGCCCCAGUAACGGCGAGUGAAGCGGCAACAGCUCAAAUUUGAAAUCUGGCCCCCCGGCCCGAGUUGUAAUUUGGAGAGGAUGCUUCUGGCGCGGCGCCGUCCGAGUUCCUUGGAACAGGACGCCACAGAGGGUGAGAGCCCCGUACGGACGGACGCCUAGCCUCUACGAAGCUCCUUCGACGAGUCGAGUAGUUUGGGAAUGCUGCUCAAAAUGGGAGGUAAAUUUCUUCUAAAGCUAAAUACCGGCCAGAGACCGAUAGCGCACAAGUAGAGUGAUCGAAAGAUGAAAAGCACUUUGAAAAGAGGGUUAAAAAGUACGUGAAAUUGUUGAAAGGGAAGCGCCUGUGACCAGACUUGCGCCCCGCGGACCACCCGGCGUUCUCGCCGGUGCACUCUGCGGUGCGCAGGCCAGCAUCGGUUCUCCCAGGGGGACAAAGGCCGCGGGAACGUAGCUCCUUCGGGAGUGUUAUAGCCCGCGGCGGCAUGCCCCUGGGGGGACCGAGGACCGCGCUUCGGCAAGGAUGCUGGCGUAAUGGUCACCAGCGACCCGUC